UACGGAGGGUGCAAGCGUUAAUCGGAAUCACUGGGCGUAAAGGGCGCGUAGGCGGCCAUGUAAGUCGGAUGUGAAAUCCCUCGGCUCAACCGGGGAACUGCAUUCGAAACUGCUUGGCUUGAGUACUGGAGAGGGUGGCGGAAUUCCCGGUGUAGGAGUGAAAUCCGUAGAGAUCGGGAGGAACACCAGUGGCGAAGGCGGCCACCUGGACAGUAACUGACGCUGAGGCGCGAAAGCGUGGGUAG
This 245-nucleotide ribosomal RNA is filed under the name uncultured bacterium. RNAcentral describes it as "partial 16S ribosomal RNA". It matches the Rfam family "Bacterial small subunit ribosomal RNA", at positions 524 to 768 of the family's 1533-position model. The record is from RNAcentral.